GUAAUACAUGCAAGUCGAGCGGACAGAUGGGAGCCUGCUCCCUGAUGUUAGCGGCGGACGGGUGAGUAACACGUGGGUAACCUGCCUGUAAGACUGGGAUAACUCCGGGAAACCGGGGCUAAUACCGGAUGCUUGAUUGAACCGCAUGGUUCAAUUAUAAAAGGUGGCUUUUAGCUACCACUUACAGAUGGACCCGCGGCGCAUUAGCUAGUUGGUGAGGUAACGGCUCACCAAGGCGACGAUGCGUAGCCGACCUGAGAGGGUGACCGGCCACACUGGGACUGAGACACGGCCCAGACUCCUACGGGAGGCAGCAGUAGGGAAUCUUCCGCAAUGGACGAAAGUCUGACGGAGCAACGCCGCGUGAGUGAUGAAGGUUUUCGGAUCGUAAAACUCUGUUGUUAGGGAAGAACAAGUACCGUUCGAAUAGGGCGGCACCUUGACGGUACCUAACCAGAAAGCCACGGCUAACUACGUGCCAGCAGCCGCGGUAAUACGUAGGUGGCAAGCGUUAAUCGGAAUUACUGGGCGUAAAGCGCACGCAGGCGGUUUGUUAAGUCAGAUGUGAAAUCCCCGGGCUCAACCUGGGAACUGCAUCUGAUACUGGCAAGCUUGAGUCUCGUAGAGGGGGGUAGAAUUCCAGGUGUAGCGGUGAAAUGCGUAGAGAUCUGGAGGAAUACCGGU
This 684-nucleotide ribosomal RNA is filed under the name uncultured Bacillus sp. RNAcentral's name for it is "bacterial SSU rRNA". It matches the Rfam family "Bacterial small subunit ribosomal RNA", at positions 48 to 713 of the family's 1533-position model. Lineage: Bacteria; Bacillati; Bacillota; Bacilli; Caryophanales; Bacillaceae. The record is from RNAcentral.